AUACAGAGGGUGCGAGCGUUAAUCGGAAUUACUGGGCGUAAAGCGCGCGUAGGCGGCUUAUUAAGUCAGAUGUGAAAUCCCCGGGCUCAACCUGGGAACUGCAUCUGAUACUGGUAAGCUAGAGUUUUGGAGAGGGAAGUAGAAUUUCAGGUGUAGAGGUGAAAUGCAUAGAGAUCUGAAGGAAUACCAGUGGCGAAGGCGACUUCCUGGCCAAAAACUGACGCUGAGGUGCGAAAGCGUGGGUAGCAAACGGGAUUAGAAACCCCGGUAGUCC
RNAcentral lists this ribosomal RNA (274 nucleotides) under uncultured bacterium. RNAcentral's name for it is "partial 16S ribosomal RNA". It matches the Rfam family "Bacterial small subunit ribosomal RNA", at positions 523 to 796 of the family's 1533-position model. The record is from RNAcentral.